This 248-nucleotide ribosomal RNA is filed under the name uncultured Mycobacterium sp. RNAcentral's name for it is "partial 16S ribosomal RNA". It matches the Rfam family "Bacterial small subunit ribosomal RNA", at positions 356 to 616 of the family's 1533-position model. Lineage: Bacteria; Bacillati; Actinomycetota; Actinomycetes; Mycobacteriales; Mycobacteriaceae. The record is from RNAcentral.
GGGGAAUAUUGCACAAUGGGCGCAAGCCUGAUGCAGCGACGCCGCGUGGGGGAUGACGGCCUUCGGGUUGUAAACCUCUUUCAGUAGGGACGAAGCGCAAGUGACGGUACCUACAGACGAAGCACCGGCCAACCACGUGCCAGCAGCCGCGGUACUACGUAGGGUGCGAGCGUCGUCCGGAAUUACUGGGCGUAAAGAGCUCGUAGGUGGGUUGUCGCGUUGUUCGAGAAGUCUCACAGCUUAACUGU